AUUGAACGCUGGCGGAAUGCUUUACACAUGCAAGUCGAACGGCAGCACGGGGGCAGCCCUGGUGGCGAGUGGCGAACGGGUGAGUAAUACAUCGGAACGUGCCCGGUCGUGGGGGAUAACGUAGCGAAAGUUACGCUAAUACCGCAUACGAUCUGAGGAUGAAAGCGGGGGACCUUCGGUCCUCGCGCGAUCGGAGCGGCCGAUGUCAGAUUAGGUAGUUGGUGGGGUAAAGGCCUACCAAGCCGACGAUCUGUAGCUGGUCUGAGAGGACGACCAGCCACACUGGGACUGAGACACGGCCCAGACUCCUACGGGAGGCAGCAGUGGGGAAUUUUGGACAAUGGGCGCAAGCCUGAUCCAGCCAUUCCGCGUGCAGGACGAAGGCCUUCGGGUUGUAAACUGCUUUUGUACGGAACGAAAAGGCUCUGGCUAAUACCUGGGGCUCAUGACGGUACCGUAAGAAUAAGCACCGGCUAACUACGUG
This 484-nucleotide ribosomal RNA is filed under the name uncultured bacterium. RNAcentral's name for it is "partial 16S ribosomal RNA". It matches the Rfam family "Bacterial small subunit ribosomal RNA", at positions 30 to 507 of the family's 1533-position model. The record is from RNAcentral.